AUACGGCCCAGAUUCCUACGGGAGGCAGCAGUGGGGAAUUUUGCACAAUGGGCGAAAGCCUGAUGCAGAAACGCCGCCUGCGGGAUGACAGCCUUCGGGUUGUAAACCGCUUUCAGCGCCGACGAAGCGAAAGUGACGGUAGGCGCAGAAGAAGGACCGGCCAACUACGUGCCAGCAGGCGCGGUGAUACGUAGGGUCCGAGCGUUGUCCGGAAUUAUUGGGCGUAAAGGGCUUGUAGGCGGUCUGCCGCGUCGGGAGUGAAAACUCAGAGCUUAACUCUGAGCGUGCUUCCGAUACGGGCGGACUAGAGGAAUGCAGGGGAGAAUGGAAUACCUGGUGGAGCGGUGGAAUGCGCAGAUAUCAGGUGGAACACCAGUGGCGAAGGCGGUUCUCUGGGCAUUUCCUGACGCUGAGAAGCGAAAGCGUGGGGAGCAAACAGGCUUAGAUACCCUGGUAGUCCACGCCGUAAACGGUGGGCACUAGGUGUGGGACUCAUUCCACGAGUUCCGUGCCGUAGCUAACGCAUUAAGUGCCCCGCCUGGGGAGUACGGCCGCAAGGCUAAAACUCAAAGGAAUUGACGGGGGCCCGCACAAGCGGCGGAGCAUGCGGAUUAAUUCGAUGCAACGCGAAGAACCUUACCUGGGUUUGACAUAUACCGGAAAGCUGCAGAGAUGUAGCCCCCGCAAGGUCGGUAUACAGGUGGUGCAUGGCUGUCGUCAGCUCGUGUCGUGAGAUGUUGGGUUAAGUCCCGCAACGAGCGCAACCCUCGUCCUAUGUUGCCAGCGGAUAAUGCCGGGGACUCAUAGGAGACUGCCGGGGUCAACUCGGAGGAAGGUGGGGAUGACGUCAAGUCAUCAUGCCCCUUAUGUCCAGGGCUUCACGCAUGCUACAAUGGCUGGUACAAAGAGCUGCGAGACCGCAAGGUUAAGCGAAUCUCAAAAAGCCAGUCUCAGUUCGGAUUGGGGUCUGCAACUCGACCCCAUGAAGUCGGAGUCGCUAGUAAUCGCAGAUCAGCAACGCUGCGGUGAAUACGUUCCCGGGCCUUGUACACACCGCCCGUCAAGUCAUGAAAGUCGGUAACACCCGAAGCCGGUGGCCCAACCCUUGUGGAGGGAGCC
This 1119-nucleotide ribosomal RNA is filed under the name Microlunatus sp. RNAcentral describes it as "bacterial SSU rRNA". It matches the Rfam family "Bacterial small subunit ribosomal RNA", at positions 324 to 1454 of the family's 1533-position model. The record is from RNAcentral. Lineage: Bacteria; Bacillati; Actinomycetota; Actinomycetes; Propionibacteriales; Propionibacteriaceae.